CCUUCGAUAGCUCAGUUGGUAGAGCGGAGGGCUGUAGGACGUUAACUCAGGCAUCCUUAGGUGGCUGGUUCAACUCCGGAUGGAAGGA
This is a non-coding RNA of Ataeniobius toweri, 88 nucleotides long. The record is from the annotation of a GenBank genome assembly. NCBI's taxonomy places the organism in Eukaryota, Metazoa, Chordata, Actinopteri, Cyprinodontiformes, Goodeidae.